Molecule: long non-coding RNA, 1081 nt
Filed under: Vombatus ursinus (common wombat)
Lineage: Eukaryota; Metazoa; Chordata; Mammalia; Diprotodontia; Vombatidae
Description: lncRNA (ENSVURG00010000282.1)
Source: RNAcentral
CCUUUUAUGAUCUUUCCUCUUCUGCCCCUCGCACUAUGGGCCCCAGUCCCAGGAGCCUAUUCCGCACAGCGAAGGGGAGCAGGAUAAAGUAAGUAUCAAGAGUCUUCAUGUGUUGUCUGACAUUCCUGGCCAGGACAAGAUGGCAGUAAAGCCGGAAAUAAUCAUGGCGGCUGCAGCCGGGGAGGGCUUCCCUAGCCCAGGAGGCAUAGAGAAGGACCUGCUGCCCCAUCACUAUACCAUCCAAGGGGCGCCCAGUGUGUCCCCUCCCAGUACACCAUCUGUCCCAAGCAUUGUAGUAGCAGCUGCUGCCAGCAGGGGUCCUGCCAGUAAGGCCAUUGCUGGGGCCCCCCCGGGGAUGGGGACAGCCACAGCAGGCAGCCAGGGGCCUGGCGUAAGUGUAGCCCCAGCUGGGACUGCAACUGGGCAGGUAACAGAGACCGUGUCUGCCAGCAGUGUUAGUCUAAUGCUGGCUGGCGCUGCCAGCAUGUCACCAGACUCGGUGAGCAUGGCUUCGGUAGGCACUGGCAGCCUGUCGCCCUCGGGCCACGUGAGUGUGGCCUGUGCUGGAGCUGGGAGUGUGGCGGGCCUAGGAACCGUCACCCCGCUCAGGCCCGAGUAUCCCCUGGUGUCAAGCUUGCAGAGCGAGGGCGACAUGAGUGAGCGGGACGGAAGUCAGAGGGUGACCAUGGCCAGUCCAAAGGUAUCCACGAAAGGGAUGUCAUCGCGGAGGCACUCCCAGCGCAGAGAAGGCCGAGCUCACAGACAGGCCAAGAAGGAAGGCAGCAGUGGCCAGAGGAGGUCAUCCCGGCGGGCUGUGACUUCCAGGGAGACGCAGAAAUCCAACCACCAGCCCGGGGGAAGCCGCCACAGCCCAUCUUCCCACAAAGCCACCAGCCGCAGCCCAUCUGUAAAGGAUUCCAGGUGAGAGGAGUUGCUUGCCAGCUGCUAGCUAUGCAUGCCCCUCAUGUCCCUCCAAAAAGAAGGAUCCUGAUGGAGAUUUCAUGAACAUUGCCUAGAAAGCGUCUUUUCUUUUUCUAGAUUGGGAUUAUCUCUCUUACCAUCGUUAUUAUCAUUAUUACCA